GAUGAACGCUGGCGGCGUGCCUAAUACAUGCAAGUCGAGCGAACAGACGAGGAGCUUGCUCCUCUGACGUUAGCGGCGGACGGGUGAGUAACACGUGGAUAACCUACCUAUAAGACUGGGAUAACUUCGGGAAACCGGAGCUAAUACCGGAUAAUAUAUUGAACCGCAUGGUUCAAUAGUGAAAGACGGUUUUGCUGUCACUUAUAGAUAGAUCCGCGCCGCAUUAGCUAGUUGGUAAGGUAACGGCUUACCAAGGCAACGAUGCGUAGCCGACCUGAGAGGGUGAUCGGCCACACUGGAACUGAGACACGGUCCAGACUCCUACGGGAGGCAGCAGUAGGGAAUCUUCCGCAAAGGGCGAAAGCCUGACGGAGCAACGCCGCGUGAGUGAUGAAGGUCUUCGGAUCGUAAAACUCUGUUAUUAGGGAAGAACAAAUGUGUAAGUAACUAUGCACGUCUUGACGGUACCUAAUCAGAAAGCCACGGCUAACUACGUG
Molecule: ribosomal RNA, 497 nt
Filed under: uncultured bacterium
Lineage: Bacteria
Description: partial 16S ribosomal RNA
Rfam family: Bacterial small subunit ribosomal RNA
Source: RNAcentral